UUUAUGGAGAGUUUGAUCCUGGCUCAGGACGAACGCUGGCGGCGUGCUUAACACAUGCAAGUCGAACGGAAAGGCCUAGCUUGCUAGGUACUCGAGUGGCGAACGGGUGAGUAACACGUGGGUGAUCUGCCUCGUACUUCGGGAUAAGCCUGGGAAACUGGGUCUAAUACUGGAUAGGACCAUGCUUUAGUGUGUGUGGUGGAAAGUUUUUUCGGUACGAGAUGAGCCCGCGGCCUAUCAGCUUGUUGGUGGGGUAAUGGCCUACCAAGGCGUCGACGGGUAGCCGGCCUGAGAGGGUGGACGGCCACAUUGGGACUGAGAUACGGCCCAGACUCCUACGGGAGGCAGCAGUGGGGAAUAUUGCACAAUGGGCGCAAGCCUGAUGCAGCGACGCCGCGUGGGGGAUGACGGCCUUCGGGUUGUAAACCUCUUUCGCUAGGGACGAAGCUUUUGUGACGGUACCUAGAUAAGAAGCACCGGCUAACUACGUGCCAGCAGCCGCGGUAAUACGUAGGGUGCGAGCGUUGUCCGGAAUUACUGGGCGUAAAGAGCUCGUAGGUGGUUUGUCGCGUCGUCUGUGAAAUUCCGGGGCUUAACUUCGGGCGUGCAGGCGAUACGGGCAUAACUUGAGUGCUGUAGGGGAGACUGGAAUUCCUGGUGUAGCGGUGGAAUGCGCAGAUAUCAGGAGGAACACCGAUGGCGAAGGCAGGUCUCUGGGCAGUAACUGACGCUGAGGAGCGAAAGCAUGGGGAGCGAACAGGAUUAGAUACCCUGGUAGUCCAUGCCGUAAACGGUGGGCGCUAGGUGUGAGGGUCUUCCACGACUUUCGUGCCGUAGCUAACGCAUUAAGCGCCCGCCUGGGGAGUACGGCCGCAAGGCUAAAACUCAAAGGAAUUGACGGGGGCCCGCACAAGCGGCGGAGCAUGUGGAUUAAUUCGAUGCAACGCGAAGAACCUUACCUGGGCUUGACAUAUGCAGGAUCGGCGUAGUGAUACGUUUUCCCUUGUGGUCUGUAUACAGGUGGUGCAUGGUUGUCGUCAGCUCGUGUCGUGAGAUGUUGGGUUAAGUCCCGCAACGAGCGCAACCCUUGUCUUAUGUUGCCAGCACGUGAUGGUGGGGACUCAUGAGAGACUGCCGGGGUUAACUCGGAGGAAGGUGGGGAUGACGUCAAAUCAUCAUGCCCCUUAUGUCCAGGGCUUCACACAUGCUACAAUGGUCGGUACAACGCGCUGCGAGCCUGUGAGGGUGAGCGAAUCGCUGAAAGCCGGCCUCAGUUCGGAUUGGGGUCUGCAACUCGACCCCAUGAAGUCGGAGUCGCUAGUAAUCGCAGAUCAGCAACGCUGCGGUGAAUACGUUCCCGGGCCUUGUACACACCGCCCGUCACGUCAUGAAAGUUGGUAACACCCGAAGCCAGUGGCCUAACCCUUGUGGGGGGAGCUGUCGAAGGUGGGAUCGGCGAUUGGGACGAAGUCGUAACAAGGUAGCCGUACCGGAAGGUGCGGCUGGAUCACCUCCUUUCUAAGGAG
RNAcentral lists this ribosomal RNA (1526 nucleotides) under Corynebacterium diphtheriae. RNAcentral's name for it is "bacterial SSU rRNA". It matches the Rfam family "Bacterial small subunit ribosomal RNA". Lineage: Bacteria; Bacillati; Actinomycetota; Actinomycetes; Mycobacteriales; Corynebacteriaceae. The record is from RNAcentral.